This is a long non-coding RNA of Stegastes partitus (bicolor damselfish), 275 nucleotides long. RefSeq lists it as uncharacterized. The transcript is spliced from 3 exons. The record is from RefSeq and is a predicted model, not a curated record. NCBI's taxonomy places the organism in Eukaryota, Metazoa, Chordata, Actinopteri, Pomacentridae.
GUACCAGAAAGUCCAUCAGAUUACAGUCAGGUUUCACCUCUGUGGAUUUCAUCAAUGAAGUCAAAAACAAGUUUGGGCUUCCUGAUGCCACUGAACUUGACAUUUUUGAUGAAGCCGACACAGCAGUGGAUGAAGACGUCUUUCUUGAGCUGAUAGAGGCCAAUCCGGACUUAUGCCUGAUAGUACGUGACAGCAUUUCACAAGGAGUGGUGGAAGAUGUAAUUCUUGAAGUGACAGAUGACGAGGUCAGUCCUGACAGCGUUUCAGAGCGAGGU